Megalops atlanticus (tarpon) is the source of this 71-nucleotide non-coding RNA. The record is from the annotation of a GenBank genome assembly. Lineage: Eukaryota; Metazoa; Chordata; Actinopteri; Elopiformes; Megalopidae.
GUCCAGUGGUGUAGUGGUAAGGAGCAAGGCUCAUAACCAAAAGGUUGCUGGUUCAAUUCCACUCUAGGGCA